This is a long non-coding RNA of Prionailurus viverrinus (fishing cat), 383 nucleotides long. RefSeq lists it as uncharacterized. The record is from RefSeq and is a predicted model, not a curated record. Lineage: Eukaryota; Metazoa; Chordata; Mammalia; Carnivora; Felidae. The transcript has 3 exons.
AAAGUGUCCUUUUUGGCCCGAUUGCACCUACCUCCGCAGUAACAUCCCGGCCAAACGAGCCGCUGUGAGGAGAGCGAAGGUGCUGGGCUGAUAAGAGAGUAGAUGUGCAAUGUCCUUUAGAGGAGCGGGGAAGAAUCCACUCGGGAAAUCCUGAAGUUCCUCGCAGGAAUUUAUCGACACCAGGCAGCAAGGCAGCUUGCUCGCGUGCUGCGUUCCCGGGGCGGGACGCAGCCUCUGCGGUCAUUUUCCCGUGAGGACUACUCUCCGCCUUUCGGGAGAAGGAUUUGACCUUCUUUGGGGUCAGCACUCGAGAAUGCAGCCGCUAGAUUGUCAGCCCUCUGUAGGUGGAGCCAUGCCCACCACCUCUCAGCGGACCCUGAAGC